GAAAUGCGAUAAGUAAUGUGAAUUGCAGAAUUCAAUGAAUCAUCGAAUCUUUGAACGCACAUUGCGCCCGCCAGCACUCUGGCGGGCAUGCCUGUUCGAGCGUCAUUUCAACCCUCAGAACCCCUUGCGGGAGCUGGCGUUGGGGAUUGGCAUCCAGCCAGCCCCGAAAUCUAGUGGCGGUCCCUCCGCGACCUCCCCUGUGCAGUAGCGAUACCUCGCAGCGGGACAGCGGUCUGACCACGCCGUAAAACCCCCAACUUCUCAAGGUUGACCUCGAAUCAGGUAGGAAUACCCGCUGAACUUAAGC
Molecule: unclassified non-coding RNA, 307 nt
Filed under: plant metagenome
Description: partial contains 5.8S ribosomal RNA, internal transcribed spacer 2, and large subunit ribosomal RNA
Rfam family: 5.8S ribosomal RNA (bases 1-105)
Source: RNAcentral